AGCAGCCGCGGUAAUUCCAGCUCCAAUAGCGUAUAUUAAAGUUGUUGCAGUUAAAAAGCUCGUAGUUGAAUUUCGGGAUUGGCGCAUCGGUCGUGCCUCACGGGGUAUGAACUGGUGCAGUCAAUUUCUCACCUUCUGGAGAACCGCGAUGUCCUUAAUUGGAUGCCGCGGGGAACCAGGACCUUUACUUUGAAAAAUUAGAGUGUUUAAAGCAGGCAUUUUUGCUUGAAUACAUUAGCAUGGAAUAAUAAAAUAGGACGGCAUGGUUCUAUUUUGUUGGUUUCUAGGACCACCGUAAUGAUUAAUAGGGAUAGUUGGGGGCAUUAGUAUUCAAUUGUCAGAGGUGAAAUUCUUGGAUUUAUUGAAGACUAACUACUGCAAAAGC
RNAcentral lists this ribosomal RNA (385 nucleotides) under uncultured Entrophospora. RNAcentral's name for it is "SSU rRNA". It matches the Rfam family "Eukaryotic small subunit ribosomal RNA", at positions 569 to 952 of the family's 1831-position model. The record is from RNAcentral. Lineage: Eukaryota; Fungi; Glomeromycota; Glomeromycetes; Entrophosporales; Entrophosporaceae.